Long non-coding RNA from Apodemus sylvaticus (European woodmouse), 774 nucleotides. RefSeq lists it as uncharacterized. The record is from RefSeq and is a predicted model, not a curated record. NCBI's taxonomy places the organism in Eukaryota, Metazoa, Chordata, Mammalia, Rodentia, Muridae. The transcript is spliced from 3 exons.
UUUUACGGCAGCCACAGAAAGGGAAAAGGACAGAUGGGACCCUGGUUUCUACACUGCGCUCCUAUAUUUGUAUCACUGUAGCCAAAAUAUCCAACAGUUACAGUUUAAAGAAAGAAAGCCUGAUUUGGGCUCAGCAUUUCAGAGUGGUCCACGCCAUCCUGGCCAGAAGACAGGCCUCAGCUUCCAAAGCUUCCCCAAGUGGCAUCCACCAGCCAGAAAAUGAGAGCUCCACAACAGGAACCAACGAGGGACAUUGCACACUGAAACAAUAACAUGGGCAGAAACACAGAAGAAGCCUGUGUGUGACUUGUCACCGACUGCUGUACUGGAUCUCAUGCACCUCAGGUGGCUGGUUCCCAACUCACUAGGAGUGGAGGAUGACCUUGUACUCAGUUCUCCCGGAACUGAGGCGUGAGGAGCGAGGUGUGGUGGCAGCAGCCCUGAACUUCCGGCUAGGAGGCAGGGUUUAAAGGUUAGACUACAUCAAGCAGUGGCUUUGUUAGCUGAGCUGGCUUUGUCCCUGUACCUCUAGCGAGGAUUAGCCAGUUUAGCAGGCCAACGACAAGGAGGCUCAUUUCAUAACCCUUUCUGUCCCAGUGUGGUCGCCCGCCCUCCAGGUCACCCUUAGGGCAAAGAGUCCCAGUCUCCUGGCCUGCCUGCUUUACUUCUUUCCUAGGCUCUAACCUUGGGAAUAAAAACAGAGAGUUUCUGUGAUAGGGCAGUUGUUGUCCACACCUGGGUUCUCUCAGGGCGUAUAUAUAAUUAAUACUGUGA